GACGAACGCUGGCGGCGUGCCUAACACAUGCAAGUCGAACGAAGAAUGUUUUUCGGAAUAUUCUUAGUGGCGGACGGGUGAGUAACGCGUGGGCAACCAACCCUGUACAGUGGGAUAACACCGGGAAACCGGUGCUAAUACCGCAUGACACCUAGAUGGUGCAUACUGUUUAGGUUAAAGGGCAAAACCGGUACGGGACGGGCCCGCGUCCCAUUAGCUGGUUGGUGAGAUAACGGCUCACCAAGGCGACGAUGGGUAGCCGACCUGAGAGGGUGGCCGGCCACACUGGGACUGAGACACGGCCCAGACUCCUACGGGAGGCAGCAGUGGGGAAUAUUGCGCAAUGGACGGAAGUCUGACGCAGCGACGCCGCGUGAGCGACGAAGGCCUUCGGGUCGUAAAGCUCUGUUCUUGGGACGAAUAAAAUGACGGUACCCAAGGAGAAAGCCCCGGCUAACUACGUG
This 464-nucleotide ribosomal RNA is filed under the name uncultured bacterium. Its description in RNAcentral is "bacterial SSU rRNA". It matches the Rfam family "Bacterial small subunit ribosomal RNA", at positions 28 to 507 of the family's 1533-position model. The record is from RNAcentral.